RNAcentral lists this ribosomal RNA (87 nucleotides) under Finegoldia magna. Lineage: Bacteria; Bacillati; Bacillota; Tissierellia; Tissierellales; Peptoniphilaceae. The record is from RNAcentral.
GUACCCAUGCCGAACACAGAAGUUAAGCCUCUUAACGCCGAUGGUACUACGAUGGAAACGUCGUGGGAGAGUAGGUAAUUGCCAAAC